AUUGAACGCUGGCGGCAGGCCUAACACAUGCAAGUCGAACGGUAACAGGAAGAAGCUUGCUUCUUUGCUGACGAGUGGCGGACGGGUGAGUAAUGUCUGGGAAACUGCCUGAUGGAGGGGGAUAACUACUGGAAACGGUAGCUAAUACCGCAUAACGUCGCAAGACCAAAGAGGGGGACCUUCGGGCCUCUUGCCAUCGGAUGUGCCCCGAUGGGAUUCGCUAGUAGGUGGGGUAACGGCUCACCUAGGCGACGAUCCCUAGCUGGUCUGAGAGGAUGACCAGCCACACUGGAACUGAGACACGGUCCAGACUCCUACGGGAGGCAGCAGUGGGGAAUAUUGCACAAUGGGCGCAAGCCUGAUGCAGCCAUGCCGCGUGUAUGAAGAAGGCCUUCGGGUUGUAAAGUACUUUCAGCGGGGAGGAAGGGAGUAAAGUUAAUACCUUGGCUCAUUGACGUUACCCGCAGAAGAAGCACCGGCUAACUCCGUG
RNAcentral lists this ribosomal RNA (490 nucleotides) under uncultured bacterium. Its description in RNAcentral is "partial 16S ribosomal RNA". It matches the Rfam family "Bacterial small subunit ribosomal RNA", at positions 30 to 507 of the family's 1533-position model. The record is from RNAcentral.